UCCUCAGUAGCUCAGUGGUAGAGCUAUCGGCUGUUAACCGAUCGGUCGUAGGUUCGAGUCCUACCUGCGGAG
This 72-nucleotide transfer RNA is filed under the name Neobacillus cucumis. RNAcentral describes it as "tRNA-Asn". It matches the Rfam family "tRNA". Rfam says of the family: Transfer RNA (tRNA) molecules are approximately 80 nucleotides in length. Their secondary structure includes four short double-helical elements and three loops (D, anti-codon, and T loops). Lineage: Bacteria; Bacillati; Bacillota; Bacilli; Caryophanales; Bacillaceae. The record is from RNAcentral. RNAcentral also lists the same sequence under 2 other names.